RNAcentral lists this unclassified non-coding RNA (1083 nucleotides) under Apis florea (little honeybee). Its description in RNAcentral is "uncharacterized LOC105735584, transcript variant X1". Lineage: Eukaryota; Metazoa; Arthropoda; Insecta; Hymenoptera; Apidae. The record is from RNAcentral.
GCGAGAAAGAGAGAGAAAUGGAGCGGAAACAAGGGCGAAAAGACGAGAAGAUCGAAAAGAGAGAGAAGAAAUGGGGGUAGGUAUGGUUAUUAAUUAAUCCCGACUCUCUCUAGAUGCCCGGCACGGCAGCCGCAAAAUAAAGCUCCCAGCAUAAAGAGCUUUACUUCCUGCGGGCAUGAAACAAUUAUCGCCAUCCGCCGUGGGCACAAAGAAGAAGUAGAAGAAGGAAAAGGGACGAGGCAAAGGGGUGGCGGCGUGAUUACACGGGGAGUCCGGCUUCGCGGCGAUCAAAGGGGAUCCCGGGGACCGGUGUGGUCGUCGCUAAUCCGUUAUGGUAAACAUCGAGAGGAUGAGAAAGUUAAUUUCUCGUUUGCACGGGGAAAAAUGAAAUACAAAAUGGAACCGCUUCGAAGCCAACUAUUACAACUCGACGAAAAGAUGCUUUUCAUAAAUCAUUCUCAGCUCCGUGAAGGAUCAGAAUGAUAGGUCGUGCACAAAGAUCCUCGUGCGGAGUGGAAGUUUCGCACAAUGGCCGACGAAUGUCUAAAAAGCGGACUGUUAAUGGUCAAAGGAGCUCCGGUGGUCGGAAAGGGUUGGUCUCGAGGACGUUUUCAUCGGUCUGCCGGCGCAUAGGCACGCCAACAAAAGUCGAAAAGGUGAGUGGAAGAUUCCCUUCUCCGCGCUCUGUUCCCAGGUCUCUUCCUCCCCCUCCUUUUUUUCCUUCCGGUUCCUACGUUGCUCUCUUCCGAGGGAUUUCCCUCUUCCGAACCGAGUCUCGCUGCGCUACGAGUCUCGCUCAACCGAACUGCAAUGGAAUUUGCUUAAGGGUUGAGAAGAGGAAGCGGAGGAGUAAGGAAAAAAAGAGUGGAAACGUCGGAAGAGUGGAUACGGUGGAAACUGAAAGGGAGAAGUAGAAGUGGGUGCAAGGUAAAAUAAUGAGCGAUUAAGAGGGGAAAGCAUGGAGAAGAAGCAUUGCGAUUGCGUAGAGAGGAUGUAGGAUGUAUCUGGUAGGAAUGGAAUGAAAUAUCGUCGAUUUGAAUAAAAUCGAUGGACCAGAUUCGAAUAAUAUUUAUUUAAGUGGAA